This 2056-nucleotide long non-coding RNA is filed under the name Oryza sativa Indica Group (long-grained rice). RNAcentral's name for it is "lncRNA OsMH63_03G020770". The record is from RNAcentral. Lineage: Eukaryota; Viridiplantae; Streptophyta; Magnoliopsida; Poales; Poaceae.
GCCUCGUUCGCUCCUCUGAUCCUCUCGCACGCGGCAUUCGCUAUCGACGCGCGGCGCCGUCGUCUCUCUCGCCGGUGCGGCGUCCUGGACUCGGGACUUGGGAGGAGGGGGGGGGGGGGGGGGGGGGGAGGUAGGCGGGAGGAGCAAGGUACAGGAGCUCCACACCUCGCCCUACCGAGCCCUCCGCUGCCGCCGCGCCCAUUCGUCCUCCACCUCAAGUCGCUCCCGUCCCCCGUCGCCGCUGCGGCCGCGCUCCUCUCCGCGCCGACGCGCCUCCACGACCACCCCUUCGCCGCCUGCGUGCUCUACCGCCUCGCCCGCGCGCGCCUCUUCCCGCUCGUGCCCCCGCUCCUCGCCACGCUGCACUCCCGCGGCGCGCCGCUCCGUCCCUCCGUGCUCGCCGCCGCCUCCCGCCCCGACGCCGCGGUCCUCGUCUUCCGCGCCGUCCCGGCCUUCUGCUCCCACUCCGCCGCCACAUUCCAUUCGCUCCUCAACACCCUUGUCUCCAAUGGCCGCGCGGAUGCCGCCAGGGACAUGCUCCAGCUCGCCCCGAAGCUCGGCGUCCGUGAGGGUGAGCUGGGCGCGGCGGAGCGGCUCAUCGACGAGAUGGUGCGCCGGGGCGUGGCGCCAAAUGCGGCCACCUACUCCCUGCUGAUGCAGGGGCUCUGCGACGCCGACCUCCACGCCGACGCCGAGAAGCUGAUGUUUGACAUGGAGUACCGUGGCUGCCAGGCCGAGGUGGUGAACUACGGCGUGCUGACGAGCUCCCGCGCGAGGCGCGGCGACGUCAACGGCGUCAGGGAGCUCCUCUCCGCCAUGCGCAAGCGGAAGCUCAAGCCCGACGACGCGAGCUACAACGUCCUGAUCAAGUGCCCGUGCGACGUCGGCAGGGUCGACGAGGCGCACAGGGCGCUGCUUGACAUGCAGCUCAAGGGCACCGUGCCGGGCGCCGCCAACGUACCGCGUCCUCGUCGACGGGUGCUGCAGGGCUCGCGACUUCGAGCUGGGCACCUUGUGAGAGGGCUCGGCGAGGACGGCAAGGUGGAGGAGGCGUGCUUCGUCUUGGAGCAGAUGGCGAGGAGGGAGAUGAGCUUGGAUGCAGAUGGGUGGCAAGCUGUUGUCACCUGCGUUCGCAGCAGCCGCAGCACCCAGGCAAGUGAGAUCAAGCUUGUCAAUGAGUUAUUGGGGCAUGGUGGGUGUAUCAACGUUCUAUUUGAGACGCCCUCUGGCUUUGCAAUAUUCGCUUAUGAUGGGAUCAAGCUCCUUAAACCAAAUGCCAUGCAGGAUAUCUGGGCAGACUUCGUCAGCGAAUAUGUGGCAAAAAGAGCUGUUGCGCUGAAAGAGUUUAAAACUUUUGAGGACAAGUUGGCUGGCAUUAAUCAUGAAACUGGUGGCAGUGAAGCGCUUGCUACGAUGAUCCAGAAGUAUACGGCCCCUCUGCAGAAACUACCUGUAGGAAAUGAUAAUUAUAGAGAUAUCAUUGAAAAGCGCUUGGUUAUUAAACUUAUUAUUGAGAAGGCAGGUGUCAUGUUCGAGUGUGAUCGUUGUGUGAACCAACAUAAUGACCCCCUGCGCAGUGCUGCUGAGCACAUUAAGAAAAUAUCUCGCAUUGACACACAGAGUUGGGAUUUAAUGAAAGUUGCGGCAGCGUUCAAGGUGAUAUGCUGCCCUGGAGAAAAAAAUGAACCUGAAGAAUGGCUGUUUACAAGACUACAACUGGAGUGGUUUAGAGAUGAUGCACCUAAAUAUAAAGAUAAAAUCUUGAAGGUGUCUUGGUUGAUAGUCUAUAAUGAAAUAUUCAGGGCCCGUGAACUUAGGCUUAAGACGGCUCGAGUAUUGUUCUGUUUGGUGAAGCGGGCCAAAGAGGCAUAUGAAGCUGAGCAAGCAGGUGAAGCUGCAAGUGAUAAUGAAAUUGGUCCUGAUGGGAAGGAGAUUCAUCCUGGUAUCACACCUGUAAUCAUUGAUGAACUUACAGAGUGCGUGUGUGAUAUCAUUCUUUCAGCAGGACAUAAGGAAAGACAGGUAUGCUUCGUGUGCUCCAUCUGAACACUCUAAA